RNAcentral lists this long non-coding RNA (1334 nucleotides) under Pogona vitticeps (central bearded dragon). RNAcentral's name for it is "lncRNA (ENSPVIG00000021440.1)". Lineage: Eukaryota; Metazoa; Chordata; Lepidosauria; Squamata; Agamidae. The record is from RNAcentral.
AUGCAUAAAAAGAUCACUUUGGAUUCCAUUGCUUGGAAUCGGUGGCAUAGACGGCAACAUUACCACCAGAUACUGGGCAGUUACGAGUGUUUGACUCUUGCCCAGAGGAGCCACUGCGAGAACCAACUGAAGCGAAGGCCAGGGCGUGGCAAAGGACGGAGCCAGUGGCCAACAGGCCGUGUUCGCCGAGAGGAGCCCCCAGUUGGACUUUGUGAAAUCCACUUUCUGCCCAUGGCAGUCACAGUGCAGGACCCAAAACAUCUGCAAAAAUUGCACUGUGUGGGUGGGUGCCUGGGCUGGGGAGUUGGAAUUAACCAGAGAGUCCCUGCUUUGUGGGAGGUUCAUCCAGCUCCCAGUCUUUUUUUGGGGGGGGGUCACUCCACUGUUUCUGCUAAAAUCUUCAAAGCUUGGAAAUUUCCUUUUUUUAUGGCAGUGGGGUAAUUGGCAAUUCAAAGAGUUGUAGUCAAGAUAGUAAGUUCUCCCAUUUCUGAUAGUAAGUUCUUCCAGUUGCUGGAUCCCACAGUGAUUUUCCUUUUUUUUGGGGGGGGGGAAUGGUCAUUGCAGGAAGGAAAGAAGAAAGUAAAAGCUACACAGGGAUCUUCCCCAUCCUAAGCAUUCAGUGAGGUUUGAGAUCUGACUUAACCGUAAUUGUCAUCUAGGGUUAGCUUCCGCUUUGGGGGUCUGGGGUGUCAAAAGACAGUAAGUGAGUAAAGGUGCAGGAUGGGACACAGUGGUAAGUAAGUGCAAAGAGAGAGGCUCACGGGAUUGACUGCAGGCACUGAGAAUAUGGCCAUUCUCUCACUGCCCUGAGUUGCCCUUGACCCUACCUCAUUCCAGGUAACCUUUGCUUGUUUCAUACACCCAUGCCAAACUCUUGAGUACUCCUCUCCUGCCGCACUUCCUUCCUUUCACAGAUCUCCGUGGAUACAGUCCGUGCCCACAGCCUCUGCCCCUUGUUGGCUCUGGUUCCACAGCAGCUUAUUGUGAGCUCAACAAGAAUACCCGCCGGUGCCAUCGCCAGCAGCUUCCGAUGUACAAGUCAUGCCGCCUGUAUCAGACAUGUGAUCACGCUGUGCUGAUUGCAGGUGUGGCCUUUGGAAUGGAGGGUAGGGUGGAGGAGCUAUUAGGUUGUGUGGAUGCACAACUGGAACAAGAAGGAGAUGGAGAUUUCAGCCUGUGGCUCCAGGGCAAGCAGUGUCUUGGGGAAGUGUGAAUCAAAUCACUGGCUGAUCUGUAGGGUCCCUGUCUUGCAUGGCAGGGUUCGUACUACACGAUUGCCUCUUCUUCCUUGACCUUUUGCAGCCAGAGUCAGUCCCUCCAGUUCACCGUGUUGC